RNAcentral lists this unclassified non-coding RNA (333 nucleotides) under rhizosphere metagenome. Its description in RNAcentral is "partial ribosomal RNA internal transcribed spacer region". The record is from RNAcentral.
GUAGGUGAACCUGCGGAAGGAUCAUUAACACGUUUUAACACACGUUACAUCAACCACGCGAACUUAUCAGUUUUGGGUUAACAGAGGGACUGACGACUUCUUCCCGAAAAGGGAAAAGUGAACUUCCUUCUUUCCCUUAUACUGUGUGUUUUUUGUCAUUUUUUGACAAACCUUAAUCACCCUUUUAUAUAAUUUUUUUCGGAGGUGAGAAAUCAUCCCUAAAAAAAUUAUAUGUGAUUUUUCCUUUUUCUAUUCAAAAGAUGCUUCCUAAUGGAGGCUAAUCUUUUAAUAACUAACUCAAAACAACUCUUAGCAACGGAUAUCUUGGUUCCC